This 441-nucleotide ribosomal RNA is filed under the name uncultured bacterium. RNAcentral describes it as "partial 16S ribosomal RNA". It matches the Rfam family "Bacterial small subunit ribosomal RNA", at positions 338 to 795 of the family's 1533-position model. The record is from RNAcentral.
CCUACGGGAGGCAGCAGUGGGGGAUAUUGCACAAUGGGGGGAACCCUGAUGCAGCGACGCCGCGUGGGUGAAGGAGUGCUUCGGCAUGUAAAGCCCUAUCGGCAGGGAAGAAGCAAGACGGUACCUGACUAAGAAGCCCCGGCUAACUACGUGCCAGCAGCCGCGGUAAUACGUAGGGGGCGAGCGUUAUCCGGAUCCACUGGGGGUAAAGGGAGCGGAGACGGCCAAGCAAGCCAGGGGGGAAAGCCCGGGGCACAACCCCGGGACUGCCGUUGGAACUGCAUGGCGGGAGUGCGGGAGGGGCAGGCGGAAUGCCUGGUGUAGCGGUGAAAUGCGUAGACAUCAGGAGGAACACCGGCGGCGAAGGCGGCCUGCUGGACCGCGACUGACGUUGAGGCUCGAAAGCGUGGGGAGCGAACAGGAUUAGAUACCCCUGUAGUC